CAAGUCUGUUUAAACCAAAACAUUUCUUUUUGGUUUUAAAAAAAGUAUUUUCUGCCCUAUGAGUUUAAAAUUAAAUGGCUGCAGUAAUUUGACUGUGCAAAGGUAGCAUAGUAAUUAGUUCUUUAAUUGGGAACUGGAAUGAAUGGAUAUAUGAGAUAUUAAUUUUAUUAAUUUUAAUAUUAAAAAUUCAAAUUUAAGUCAAAAUGCUUAAUAAAUUUCUUGGGACGAUAAGACCCUAUAGAACUUUACAAAUAAAAUAUUAGUAUUGAGUUUUACAUAUUAAAUUUGAUUAAAUAUUUUUUGUUUAGCUGGGGUGGUUAAUAAAUUUUAACUUUAUUAAUUUAUAUCAUUUGUGUAUGUUAUAAUUUUUGAUCUUUAAGAAGGUUUAAUAGAUUAAGUUACCUUAGGGAUAACAGCGUAAUUUUUAUGGGGAGUUCAAAUCUAUAUUAAAUUUUGCGACCUCGAUGUUGAAUUAAGGAAAGCUUUAGAGGCAGCACUCUAAAUCCUAAGUCUGUUCGACUAUUAAAUUCUUACAUGAU
Molecule: ribosomal RNA, 539 nt
Filed under: Tiaobeinia emeiensis
Lineage: Eukaryota; Metazoa; Arthropoda; Insecta; Hemiptera; Cicadellidae
Description: partial large subunit ribosomal RNA
Rfam family: Archaeal large subunit ribosomal RNA (bases 409-539)
Source: RNAcentral